AACGUACGCUGGCGGCACGCCUAACACAUGCAAGUCGAACGCAGUAGCAAUACUGAGUGGCAGACGGGUGAGUAACAUGUGGGAAUCUGCCUUGUGGUUCAGAACAACAUUGGGAAACCGAUGCUAAUACUGGAUAAGCCCUUACGGGGAAAGUUUUAAUGCCAUAAGAUGAGCCCGCAUUUGAUUAGUUAGUUGGUGAGGUAAUGGCUCACCAAGACAAUGAUCAAUAGCUGAUCUGAGAGGAUGAUCAGCCACACUGGGACAGAGACACGGCCCAGACUCCUACGGGAGGCAGCAGUGGGGAAUCUUGCACAAUGGAGGAAACUCUGAUGCAGCGAUGCCGCGUGAGUGAAGAAGGCCUUUGGGUUGUAAAGCUCUUUUGUAGGGGAAGAUAAUGACUGUACCCUAAGAAUAAGGUCCGGCUAACUUCGUGCCAGCAGCCGCCGUAA
Molecule: ribosomal RNA, 449 nt
Filed under: uncultured bacterium
Lineage: Bacteria
Description: partial 16S ribosomal RNA
Rfam family: Bacterial small subunit ribosomal RNA
Source: RNAcentral